RNAcentral lists this ribosomal RNA (492 nucleotides) under uncultured bacterium. RNAcentral's name for it is "partial 16S ribosomal RNA". It matches the Rfam family "Bacterial small subunit ribosomal RNA", at positions 29 to 507 of the family's 1533-position model. The record is from RNAcentral.
AGUGAACGCUGGCGGUAGGCCUAACACAUGCAAGUCGAACGGCAGCACAGUAAGAGCUUGCUCUUACGGGUGGCGAGUGGCGGACGGGUGAGGAAUACAUCGGAAUCUACUUUUUCGUGGGGGAUAACGUAGGGAAACUUACGCUAAUACCGCAUACGACCUACGGGUGAAAGCAGGGGAUCUUCGGACCUUGCGCGAUUCAAUGAGCCGAUGUCGGAUUAGCUAGUUGGCGGGGUAAAGGCCCACCAAGGCGACGAUCCGUAGCUGGUCUGAGAGGAUGAUCAGCCACACUGGAACUGAGACACGGUCCAGACUCCUACGGGAGGCAGCAGUGGGGAAUAUUGGACAAUGGGCGAAAGCCUGAUCCAGCCAUACCGCGUGGGUGAAGAAGGCCUUCGGGUUGUAAAGCCCUUUUGUUGGGAAAGAAAAGCAGCAGGUUAAUACCCCGCUGUUCUGACGGUACCCAAAGAAUAAGCACCGGCUAACUUCGUG